RNAcentral lists this ribosomal RNA (442 nucleotides) under uncultured bacterium. RNAcentral's name for it is "partial 16S ribosomal RNA". It matches the Rfam family "Bacterial small subunit ribosomal RNA", at positions 338 to 795 of the family's 1533-position model. The record is from RNAcentral.
CCUACGGGUGGCAGCAGUGGGGACUAUUGCGCAAUGGGCGAAAGCCUGACGCAGCGACGCCGCGUGAAGGAAGAAGGCUUUCGGGUUGUAAACUUCUUUUAAGAGGGAAGAGCAGAAGACGGUACCUCUUGAAUAAGCCACGGCUAACUACGUGCCAGCAGCCGCGGUAAUCCGUAGUGUGCAAGCGUUGUCCGGAUUUACUGGGUGUAAAGGGCGUGCAGCCGGGAAGACAAGUCAGAUGUGAAAUCCCGCGGCUCAACCGCGGAACUGCAUUUGAAACUGUUUUUCUUUAGUACCGGAGAGGUAAUCGGAAUUCCUUGUGUAGCGGUGAAAUGCGUAGAUAUAAGGAAGAACACCAGUGGCGAAGGCGGAUGACUGGACGGCAACUGACGGUGAGGCGCGAAAGCGUGGGGAGCAAACAGGAUUAGAUACCCGGGUAGUC